RNAcentral lists this ribosomal RNA (442 nucleotides) under uncultured bacterium. Its description in RNAcentral is "partial 16S ribosomal RNA". It matches the Rfam family "Bacterial small subunit ribosomal RNA", at positions 338 to 795 of the family's 1533-position model. The record is from RNAcentral.
CCUACGGGGGGCAGCAGUAGGGAAUCUUUCACAAUGGGCGAAAGCCUGAUGGAGCAACGCCGCGUGCAGGAUGAAGGCCUUCGGGUUGUAAACUGCUUUUAUAAGCGAGAAAUAUGAUGGUAACUUAUGAAUAAGGAUCGGCUAACUACGUGCCAGCAGCCGCGGUCAUACGUAGGAUCCGAGCAUUAUCCGGAGUGACUGGGUGUAAAGAGUUGCGUAGGUGGCAUAAUAAGUAGCUAGUGAAAUCUGGUGGCUCAACCAUUCAGACUAUUAGCUAAACUGUUAAGCUCGAGACCGUUAGGGGUAACUGGAAUUUCUAGUGUAGGAGUGAAAUGCGUAGAUAUUAGAAGGAACACCAAUAGCGUAGGCAGGUUACUGGGACGGUUCUGACACUAAGGCACGAAAGCGUAGGGAGCAAACGGGAUUAGAUACCCGGGUAGUC